UAAUACCUGCCAAGCUUAAGGGAGUUUCUUCCUACUGCGCUUUUGCAUCCGUGGAAAAGAAGUGUUCUUAGCUGACUCUGGAAGCAGUCCUGUGAAUACCAUUGCAGCCUGUGCAAACUAUUUGCAGGAUUUUGAAGGAAGGACCCCCCAAAGUAGGAAAAUUCCCUCGGUAGGACAUUCUCCGGACCGGGCCAGGAAUGCGACGACAGCUUAACUUAUCAAAACAAAAGCAGUGAGCAAAUGUGGCAGGUCGGUGGGACUACCUGGCUCCUGGAUGUCUUACACCUGGAUUUUCCUGAAGACUGUGAGGCUGUCUGACCUAUAGCCUGGUUUAAACUCUGCCUUUAUAACUUCUCAGACCUGAAUCACUUUGAUUCAUGUGCACUUACCUCACUGAUGAACUGCAAUUAUUAAUGAGACCACCGAGUUCUACUUUUGGAGGAGACUAUUUGUUUUCCAUAAUUUGCUGAGAGAAACUGAUUUCCUUCGGGCCAGAGGUCACUCAAGAAGUCGCCUUCACAAGCCCAAGAUGCCACAAAGCCAACUGCGCUCUCAGCUCCAUGAUCUGCAGGGACUCC
Long non-coding RNA from Nothoprocta perdicaria, 578 nucleotides. RefSeq lists it as uncharacterized. NCBI's taxonomy places the organism in Eukaryota, Metazoa, Chordata, Aves, Tinamiformes, Tinamidae. The transcript has 5 exons. The record is from RefSeq and is a predicted model, not a curated record.